RNAcentral lists this ribosomal RNA (400 nucleotides) under uncultured bacterium. RNAcentral's name for it is "bacterial SSU rRNA". It matches the Rfam family "Bacterial small subunit ribosomal RNA", at positions 355 to 770 of the family's 1533-position model. The record is from RNAcentral.
UGGGGAAUAUUGCACAAUGGGGGAAAACCCUGAUGCAGCGACGCCGCGUGGAGGAUGACGGCCUUCGGGUUGUAAACUCCUUUUGUCAGGGACAAUGGUGAUGGUACCUGACGAAUAAGCCACGGCUAACUCUGUGCCAGCAGCCGCGGUAAGACAGAGGUGGCGAGCGUUGUUCGGAAUUACUAGGCUUAAAGGGCGCGUAGGCGGUGGUGUAAGUCUGGGGUGGAAUGCUACAGCUCAACUGUAGAGCUGCCUUGGAAACUGCAUUACUUGAGUCGGUGAGGGGAAGCGGAAUUCCGUGGUGUAGCGGUGAAAUGCGUAGAUAUCGAGGAGGAAGGUCUGUGGCGAAGGCGGCCUUGUGGCACUUGACUGACGCUGAGGCGCGAAAGCGUGGGGANCG